Molecule: long non-coding RNA, 1662 nt
Organism: Gorilla gorilla gorilla (western lowland gorilla)
Lineage: Eukaryota; Metazoa; Chordata; Mammalia; Primates; Hominidae
Exons: 3
Source: RefSeq, a predicted model, not a curated record
UGCUAUAAAGGUACCCGAGGCUGGGUAAUUCAUAAAGAGAUUUAUUUGGUUUUGCAGAGUGCACAAGAAGCAUGGAACCUGCAUCUGCAUGUGAGGCCCUUAGGCUGCUUCUACUCAUGGCAGAAGGUAAAGGGAAGCCGGUGUAUGUAGAGAUCACAUGGCAAGAAGCGAAGCAAGAGAGAGAGUGGGGAGGUGCCAGGCUCUUUAUAACAACCAGCUCUUAAAAGAACCAACAGAGCUCUACAAGAAGCAUGGCACUGGUACCUGCAUCUGAUGAAGGCCUUAGGCUGAUUCCACUUAUGGAGGAAGGGGAAGGGAAGCUGGGAUAUGCAGAGAUCACAUGGUGUCAUCAGACUGCCAAAGAGGUCCAUGUCACAAAAACUAGUUAAGAAUCCCAGCUUUGGAUAAAGACCACAAUUCGCAACAGAUCUUUCCAAAGUCACGUAUUAUUUAGCCCCCUCUUAGUCUUCAACUCAUCUCUCUUCACUCCUCCCCAACAGCUCCUUAUCCACCAGAACAUCUGCACACAAGACUGACUGAACUACUUUCAGUUUCUUUGAUGGCCCAUGUUCUCUCUGUUUCCCCUGCCACAUCCUCUCAAUUCUCCAACCCCAUCCCAUAUAUCCCUGCACCUGGAUAAUGUUUACGCAUUCUUCAGGCUCUGGAAAGCCUUCCUGACAAACACACACACAUGCAUACACACACACACACACACGCAUGUGUGCGCAUGGCUCAGGUCAUGCCACGCUUCCUCCAUAGCAUCCUCUACAUCCCCAGCACAGUGCUUAUCUCCUUUGGUGUAAAUGAUAUCAUCUAUUUUCCUCAAUAGACUCUAAGCAAGCUCUGUAUGUACACGGACCAAGACAGCCCUGCUCACACUUAUAUCCCUGGAAUCUAGUACAAUCUGGCCCUGAAUAAAUAUUUAUUAAUGAUUUGGUGUUUGGACACAUCGAGAACAGUCAUUAGUUCCUUCCUUUCCUUUGCUCCUUGGGCUGCCUGCAAAACUAAGCUGAAAUUCUCUUCCUAACAGCUCCAAACUCUAAAAUCAUGAAACAGCCCCCAAUGUUAUGCUUCAUCCUGAUUAACCAAAACACACUUGCUUUUGAUCACACAGAGAGGACUUCCUCCCUACCUCACCCUGAACUUCCAAUAGACAUUGUCUAGAAUUACAGUUUAUAAGCUCACUCUAACUUCCCUUUGAUGCUAGGUAUUAUCUCAUGCAUGCCUAACAUCCUAGACAUCUACCUACUCAUAGAUGAACCAAGUGUUCCUGAAAUUUCCCCUAAACUCUCCAUUACACUCAAGGGCAUUACUACUUCUGCCCCUAGUAAAAGUCCUCCACAAAGAAUGGCAUGAACCCAGGAGGCAGAGCUUGCAGUUAGCCGAGAUGGCACCACUGCACUACAGGCUGGGCGACAGAGCAAGACUCCGACUCAAAAAAAAAAAAGUCCUCCACAACACUCUUAUGUCAGGCUUGACAGUCAUCUUCUUAGACAUCUCACAGACUGAUAGACUGCUGCAAACGGAAAGAACUCUGCCGUCCAGAGAGGGCAGAGAGAGGGGAGAGGUUGGAAACGGUGUGAAGGAGUAGAGCUCUCAUUAAAAAUCCUUUAGGGAAGAUUUUUGCGCUAUGCAUGCUCAUUAUUCUCUUCCCCCCUCAAU